UGGGGAAUAUUGGACAAUGGGCGAAAGCCUGAUCCAGCCAUGCCGCGUGUGUGAAGAAGGUCUUCGGAUUGUAAAGCACUUUAAGUUGGGAGGAAGGGCAUUAACCUAAUACGUUAGUGUUUUGACGUUACCGACAGAAUAAGCACCGGCUAACUCUGUGCCAGCAGCCGCGGUAAUACAGAGGGUGCAAGCGUUAAUCGGAAUUACUGGGCGUAAAGCGCGCGUAGGUGGUUUGUUAAGUUGGAUGUGAAAUCCCCGGGCUCAACCUGGGAACUGCAUUCAAAACUGACUGACUAGAGUAUGGUAGAGGGUGGUGGAAUUUCCUGUGUAGCGGUGAAAUGCGUAGAUAUAGGAAGGAACACCAGUGGCGAAGGCGACCACCUGGACUAAUACUGACACUGGGGUGCGAAAGCGUGGGGAGCAAACA
This 427-nucleotide ribosomal RNA is filed under the name uncultured bacterium. Its description in RNAcentral is "partial 16S ribosomal RNA". It matches the Rfam family "Bacterial small subunit ribosomal RNA", at positions 355 to 774 of the family's 1533-position model. The record is from RNAcentral.